CCUAUGGGGGGCAGCAGUUAGGAAUCUUUUGCAAUGCGCGCAAGCGUGACAAAGCGAGCCAGAGUGCUUUUCAAUUGAAAAGCUUUUGCCAAAUCUAAAAAUUUUGGCGAAUAAGGACUGGGCAAGACUAGUGCCAGCCGCCGCGGUAAUACUAGCGGUCCAAGUCGCAGCCAUCAUUAUUGGGUCUAAAACAUCCGUAGCUUGCUUAAUAAGUUCCUUGUGAAAUCUUAUCUCUUAAGGAUAAGGCGUGCAAGGGAUACUGCUAAGCUAGAGACUGGAAGACGUAGAAAGUAUGUAUAAAGUAGCGGUAAAAUGUGUUAAUCUUAUGCAGACUCACAAUAGCGAAGGCAUUCUACGAGGACAGUUCUGACAGUAAAGGAUGAAGGCUAGGGGCGCAAAAUGGAUUAGAUACCCCCGUAGUCC
RNAcentral lists this ribosomal RNA (423 nucleotides) under uncultured archaeon. RNAcentral describes it as "bacterial SSU rRNA". It matches the Rfam family "Archaeal small subunit ribosomal RNA", at positions 322 to 747 of the family's 1478-position model. The record is from RNAcentral.